UAAGGUAGCAAAAUAAUUUGUUUUUUGAUUGGAAACUGGAAUGAAAGAUUAAACAAAAAAUUAUUUUUUAUAAAAAUUUUUUAAAAUUUUUAUUUUGUGUUAAAAUACAUAAAUGAAUAAGAGGGACGAUAAGACCCUAAAAGCUUUAUUAUGGUAUAUUUUUUAUUAUUUUAAAUUAUAAAAUUAAAAAUAAUUUAACUGGGGUAGUUGUUUUUUUAACAAAUAUUUUUUGUAACAUUUUGUAAUAAAGGGUCUUUAUAUUAGGAUAAUUGGUUGAAGUUACUUUAGGGAUAACAGCGUAAUAAUAAUGGAAAGAUCUUAUUUAUAUUAUUGUUUUCGACCUCGAUGUUGAAUUAAAUUUCUUUAUAAAGCAGAAAUUAUUUUUGAAAGUUUGUUCAACUUUUAAAAAUUUACAUGAU
Molecule: ribosomal RNA, 419 nt
Filed under: Waematau kohuroa
Lineage: Eukaryota; Metazoa; Arthropoda; Malacostraca; Amphipoda; Makawidae
Description: partial 16S ribosomal RNA
Source: RNAcentral